GGACCCGCACAAGUAGUGGAGCAUGUGGUUUAAUUCGAAGAUACGCGCAGAACCUUACCAACACUUGACAUGUUCGUCGCGACUUUAAGAGAUUAAAGUUUUCGGUUCGGCCGGACGAAACACAGGUGCUGCAUGGCUGUCGUCAGCUCGUGUCGUGAGAUGUUGGGUUAAGUCCCGCAACGAGCGCAACCCUCACUUUUAGUUGCCAUCAUUAAGUUGGGCACUCUGAAAGAACUGCCAGUGAUAAGCUGGAGGAAGGUGGGGAUGACGUCAAGUCCUCAUGGCCCUUACGUGUUGGGCUACACACGUGCUACAAUGGCAUUUACAAUAGGAAGCAAGACGGCGACGUUAAGCAAAUCCAUAAACCGAUCUCAGUUCGGAUUGGAGUCUGCAACUCGACUCCAUGAAGUUGGAAUCGCUAGUAAUCGC
This 429-nucleotide ribosomal RNA is filed under the name uncultured bacterium. Its description in RNAcentral is "bacterial SSU rRNA". It matches the Rfam family "Bacterial small subunit ribosomal RNA", at positions 917 to 1345 of the family's 1533-position model. The record is from RNAcentral.